This 2199-nucleotide ribosomal RNA is filed under the name human gut metagenome. RNAcentral's name for it is "bacterial LSU rRNA". It matches the Rfam family "Bacterial large subunit ribosomal RNA", at positions 14 to 2293 of the family's 2925-position model. The record is from RNAcentral.
AGGGCGCAAGGGGAAUGCCUUGGCACUGAGAGCCGACGAAGGACGCGACAAGCUGCGAUAAGCUACGGGGAGCCGCAAAUGGGCUUUGAUCCGUGGAUUUCCGAAUGGGGAAACCCGAUGGAGCAAUACUCCAUCAACCAUGACUGAAUACAUAGGUCAUGGUGGGGAACCGCCUGAACUGAAACAUCUAAGUAGGGCGAGGAAGAGAAAUCAACCGAGAUUCCGCUAGUAGUGGCGAGCGAACGCGGAAGAGGCCAAACCGGAAGUAGCAAUAUUUCCGGGGUUAGGACUGCAAUAUGUAACUUUAAUCUUUAACUGAAUGCUUUGGGAAGAGCAGCGAUACAGGGUGAUAGCCCCGUAAGUGAAAAGGAUUGAGUGCUAGCAGUAUCCAGAGUACCAGCGGACACGUGAAACCCGCUGGGAAGAUGGGGGGACCAUCCUCCAAGCCUAAAUACUACUCAGUGACCGAUAGUGGAGCAGUACCGUGAGGGAAAGGUGAAAAGUACCCCGGGAGGGGAGUGAAAAAGAACCUGAAACCUUGUGCCUACAAGCACCGAGAGCACGUUAAAGUGUGAUCGGGUACUUUUUGUAGAACGGUCCGGCGAGUUAAUAUUUGCAGCGAGGUUAAGGAACUGGAGUUCCGGAGCCGCAGCGAGAGCGAGUCUGAAAAGGGCGUAUGAAGUUGCAGGUAUUAGACCCGAAACCGGGUGACCUAUCCAUGAGCAGGCUGAAGCGGUGGUAAGACACCGUGGAGGGCCGCACCCACGUCUGUUGAAAAAGCCGGGGAUGACUUGUGGAUAGCGGAGAAAUUCCAAUCGAACUCGGAGAUAGCUGGUUCUCCCCGAAAUAGCUUUAGGGCUAGCGUUAUUUUAGAUUACCGGAGGUAAAGCACUGAAUGGUCUAGGGGCCGCGAGGUUACCAAAGCCUAUCAAACUCUGAAUGCCGGAUAAUUGAUGAAUAGCAGUCAGACUGUGUGAGAUAAGUCUCAUAGUCAAAAGGGAAACAGCCCAGAUCUACAGCUAAGGUCCCAAAUGAACACUAAGUGGAAAAUGAUGUGAAAUUGCGAAGACAACCAGGAUGUUGGCUUAGAAGCAGCCACUCAUUCAAAGAGUGCGUAAUAGCUCACUGGUCGAGUGGUUUUGCGCAGAAAAUGUAACGGGGCUAAGUGUUCAACCGAAGCUUAGGCAUUGUACUUUGUACAUUGGGUAGGGGAGCGUCGUAUGCGGGGCGAAGUCAGAGCGGAAGCACUGGUGGACUGCAUACGAGUGAGAAUGCCGGAAUAAGUAGCGAGAAUUAUGUGGGAAUCAUAAUGGCCGAAAAUCUAAGGUUUCUUGGGGAAGGUUCGUCCGCCCAAGGUUAGUCGGGAGCUAAGCUCAGGCCGAAAGGCGUAGGCGAUGCACAUACGGUAGAAAUUCCGUAACCACCGAACAUUUAAGCUAGAGGGACGCUUUCUUUAAGGUUAUCCCGGGCGAUGGUUGCCCCGGGCGUAAGGGACCGAAAUAUAGUAGGGAAGUAACUGGCGAGAGAGACGAGAAAAGCUCUAUGUAUACUAAGGUGCCCGUACCGCAAACCGACACAGGUAGAUGAGGAGAGUAUUCUAAGGCCAACGGGAGAAGGGUUGUUAAGGAACUCGGCAAAUUGGCCCCGUAACUUCGGGAUAAGGGGCGCCUGCGAGAGCAGGCCGCAGUGAAAAGGCCCAAGCGACUGUUUAGCAAAAACACAGCUCUCUGCUAAAUCGAAAGAUGACGUAUAGGGGGUGACGCCUGCCCGGUGCUGGAAGGUUAAGGGGAGUGCUUAGCGCAAGCGAAGGUGCGAACUUAAGCCCCAGUAAACGGCGGCCGUAACUAUAACGGUCCUAAGGUAGCGAAAUUCCUUGUCAGGUAAGUUCUGACCCGCACGAAUGGCGUAACGAUUUGGGCACUGUCUCAACAGCCCGCCCGGCGAAAUUGUAGUACCGGUGAAGAUGCCGGUUUCCCGCAACUAGACGGAAAGACCCCAUGGAGCUUUACUGUAGCUUGAUAUUGGAUCUCGGUAUUCCAUGUACAGGAUAGGUGGGAGGCUAGGAAGCGAGCGCGCCAGCGUUCGUGGAGCCAACCUUGGGAUACCACUCUUGGGAUAUUGGGAUUCUAACCUGCGACCAUGAAUCUGGUCGGGGGACACUGUUAGGUGGGCAGUUUGACUGGGGCGGUCGCCUCCAAA